AAGUUCGAUAUAACAUAGUUUCACCUAUAGCGUGGUAAGAUUUUUUGGCUCCCGAGGACCGCGUUAUAUCAGGGUAGAGGUGUAUCUGUAGUGAAGAG
Molecule: long non-coding RNA, 98 nt
Organism: Gopherus evgoodei (Goodes thornscrub tortoise)
Lineage: Eukaryota; Metazoa; Chordata; Testudines; Testudinidae
Exons: 3
Source: RefSeq, a predicted model, not a curated record